GCGGGGCACGAUGGCGCACACCUUUGUCUCAUCUACUCCGGGAGGCUGAGACAGAAGGCUCACUUGAGUCUAGGAGUUCUGGCCUGUUGUGAGCUAUGCACUAAGCCUGGCAUCAAUAGGGUGAUCUCCUGGGAGCAGGGGACCACCAGGUUGCCUAAGGAGGAGUGACACGGCCCAGGUUGGAAACAGCAGGUCAAAACUCCUGUGCUGAUCAGUAGUGGGGUCGUGCCUAUGAAUAGCCACUGCACUCCAGCCUGGGCAAUACAGCGAGGCCCCGUCUCU
RNAcentral lists this signal recognition particle RNA (282 nucleotides) under Peromyscus maniculatus bairdii (prairie deer mouse). RNAcentral's name for it is "Metazoan signal recognition particle RNA (ENSPEMG00000005065.2)". It matches the Rfam family "Metazoan signal recognition particle RNA". Rfam says of the family: The signal recognition particle (SRP) is a universally conserved ribonucleoprotein. It is involved in the co-translational targeting of proteins to membranes. The eukaryotic SRP consists of a 300-nucleotide 7S RNA and six proteins: SRPs 72, 68, 54, 19, 14, and 9. The record is from RNAcentral. Lineage: Eukaryota; Metazoa; Chordata; Mammalia; Rodentia; Cricetidae.